RNAcentral lists this ribosomal RNA (406 nucleotides) under uncultured bacterium. RNAcentral describes it as "partial 16S ribosomal RNA". It matches the Rfam family "Bacterial small subunit ribosomal RNA", at positions 30 to 526 of the family's 1533-position model. The record is from RNAcentral.
AUUGAACGCUGGCGGCAGGCCUAACACAUGCAAGUCGAGCGAGCGGCGGACGGGUGAGUAAUAUCUGGGAAACUGCCUGAUGGAGGGGGAGAACUACUGGAAACGGUAGCUAAUCCCGCAUACCAUCAGAUUUGCCCAGAUGGGUUUAGCUAGUCGGUGGGGUAACGGCUGACCUCGGCGCCGAUCCCUAGCUGGUCUGAGAGGUUGAACAGCCACACUGGAAGUGAGACACGGUCCAGACUCCUACGGGAGGCAGCAGUGGGGAAUAUUGCACAAUGGGCGAAAGCCUGAUGCAGCCAUGCCGCGUGUGUGAAGAAGGCCUUCGGGUUGUAAAGCACUUUAAGCGGGGAGGCGUUACCCGCAGAAGAAGCACCGGCUAACUCCGUGCCAGCAGCCGCGGUAAUAC